RNAcentral lists this transfer RNA (75 nucleotides) under Lamprotornis superbus. RNAcentral describes it as "tRNA-OTHER". Lineage: Eukaryota; Metazoa; Chordata; Aves; Passeriformes; Sturnidae. The record is from RNAcentral.
UGAGAUUAGCUCAGUUGGUUAGAGCAUGGUGCUAAUAUCGCUGAGGUUGUGGGUGCAAUCCCUGUAUGGGCUUAC